UACCAGCACCCCGAGUGGUCGGGACGAUUAUUGGGCCUAAAGCAUCCGUAGCCGGUUCUACAAGUCUUCCGUUAAAUCCACCUGCUUAACAGAUGGGCUGCGGAGGAUACUAUAGAGCUAGGAGGCGGGAGAGGCAAGCGGUACUUAGUGGGUAGGGGUAAAAUCCGUUGAUCCAUUGAAGACCACCAGUGGCGAAGGCGGCUUCCUGGCCUGUUCUUGACGCUGAGGCGCGAAAGCUAGGGGAGCAAACGGG
RNAcentral lists this ribosomal RNA (253 nucleotides) under uncultured bacterium. RNAcentral describes it as "partial 16S ribosomal RNA". It matches the Rfam family "Archaeal small subunit ribosomal RNA", at positions 474 to 727 of the family's 1478-position model. The record is from RNAcentral.